GAGAGCUUGUGCAGCAAAUUCAUAGUGAUAUUAAGAAAUUUGCGAGAGUGAUGGGUCUAACUUGUGUACCUGUGUAUGGAGGUUCUGGUGUUGCUCAACAAAUUAGUGAGUUGAAACGAGGAGCUGAAAUUGUUGUGUGCACUCCAGGUAGGAUGAUCGAUAUUCUUUGUACAAGUGGUGGGAAGAUCACGAAUCUGCCAAGAGUCACUUACUUGGUCAUGGAUGAAGCUGAUCGGAUGUUUGAUAUGGGAUUUGAAUCUCAGAUAGCAAGUAUUGUCCAAAACACACAGCCAGACCGUCAAACAGUCCUGUUCUCUGCAACAUUUCCUCGUCAGGUUGAAAUACUAGCCCGUAAAGUAUUGAACAACCCUGUCAAAAUACAGGUAGGUGGUAGGAGUGUUGUGAAUAAGGAUAUAACACAAUUGGUUGAGGUGAGGCCAGAAAGUGAUAGAUUCCUUCGACUUCUUGAAUUGCUUGGUGAAUGGUGCGAAAAAGGUAAAAUUUUGAUAUUUGUUCACACACAGGAGGAAUGUGAUUCUUUGUUUAGAGAAUUAAUCAAGCCUGGUUAUGGCCGUUAUGGCUGCGCCUCUCUUCAUGGGGCAAAGGAUCAGAUUGAUCGGAAGUCCACCAUAUUUAACUUUAAAAAUAAUACAUGUAAUUUGUUGAUUGCUACUAGUAUAGCAGCAAGGGGCUUAGAUGUGAAGGAGCUUGAAUUGAUAAUCAAUUAUGAUGUUCCGAACCAUUAUGAGGACUAUGUUCAUCGUGUUGGGCGGACUGGACGAGCUGGUAGGAAAGGUUGUGCCAUUGCAUUCAUAUCCGAAGAUGAUGCAAGAUAUGCACCUGAUCUUGUAAAAGCUUUACAAUUGUCGGAGCAAGUUGUUCCAGAUGACCUGAAAGCUCUUGCUGAUAGUUUCAGGGCGAAGGUGAAUCAGGGACUUGAGCAAGCACAUGGGACUGGUUAUGGUGGUAGGGGUUUUAAAUUUAACGAAGAAGAGGAUGAAGUGAGAAGAGCAGCCAAAAAGGCACAGGCAAAAGAAUAUGGAUUUGAGGAGGAUAAAUCAGAUUCAGAGGAUGAUGAUGAAGGAAUUAGAAAAGCAGGCGGCGACCUCAGUCAGCAGGCUGCCCUUGCUCAGGCUGCUGCUCUCGAUGCUGCUUCCAAAGCGAGUAUGGCUUCAGCAGCAACUCCAGUUUCCAUUGGUCAGCUUCUUCCUAAUGGUGUAUUACCUGUUGCAUUGCCAGGUGUACUUGGUAUUAACAUACCAGGCACAACAGCAGUUGCUGCUGGAAAUGGACUGCCAGUCGGCUCAGCACGUGCCUUAAACUUGCGGCAGAAAUUAGCAAAGAUUCAGGCUGAUGCAAUGCCUGAACAUUAUAUAGCAGAAUUAGAGAUCAAUGAUUUUCCUCAAAACGCUCGCUGGAAGGCUACGCACAAGGCAACUUUGGAUCCUAUUUCUGAAUGGACAGGAGCUGCCAUUACCCCUCGAGGACAGUAUGCUCCACCUGGCAAGGUACCAGAGUCGGGGCAAAGGAAGCUGUACUUGUUCAUUGAAGGCCCUACAGAGCAAUCUGUCAUGAGAGCAAAAGAACAAGUUUUGAAGGACAUUACCAUGCAAGCAUCAUCACUUCGUGGUUCAGCUCAAUCAGGCAGAUACUCGGUUGUGUGAGAAUGGAUGUCGUUGCCAUUGGUAUUGUUUCUUUUUCGACUUUUAUCUAUUCAGGCAUAUUAUUUCCUAAGUUUUGUCGCUCGAUUUAGAGAUGACUUACCUUUUAAUGAUGUAAACAGGUUUAACUAGAUACAUGAUUAUUCUCACUGAUCAGCCAUGGUUUGUUCCUCUGCUAUAUGAUUUUAUAAAUCCCGUUAUCAUUAAGUUGAAAUUUCGAUUAUCUAUAUUACUUGAUUCCCUUACUGAUAGUACCAUCAAAGCUUUGAAACUGCCGCAGGGAGAUUCCACGAAGUUGCACAGGAAGAAACAUGGUAUUCAGUCACCCCGACUAAUAUCUUGGUUAGGAAAGAAAUAACAUGUGGUAACUUUUAGCACAAUUACUUGAAUUUCUGUUACUUAUAUGUUAUAGCAAGAAUUGCUUGAGUUACUAUGCAUGAGGAAUCAUCAUAUAUGCAUAAAGUUGAUGACGGAAUCUCUUCACGCGUUCUUAAUUUCGUUGGUUAUUUAUGCAGCAUACGUCAAUGAGCUCAGAGCAAGAUUCUUACUGUUGUUGGAGAUGAUCUCACUGACUUACUUGUUGAUUCCAGCAACAGAAAGGAUUAAAUUAUUACCACCUUCAAAUCCGAUGAAAUGAGAAGUUCCGCAUUGUGUGUUUACCUCGUAUCAGUUCUUAAUUCAGGAAGUGGAGUCUGAACUAUGUGACCGGUAGCAGUUGCAUUUUUCUCGUAGUUGCCUGUCUUACGACUUUUCCUACUCGUUAUUUACUGUGCUUUAGUUAUCACAUUAUUUGGUUAUUGUUAUUGUUAUUUUUACGAAUGUAUUUUCCUUUUGACUGCUUUGAUGUGCAUUACUCGAGCCAAGGGUCUUUCGCAGACAGCCUCUCUACCUCCAUAAGAUAAGGUCUGCGUACUCUCUACACUCAGUUUCUGAUCUCAUAAAUCUGUUCUAAUUAAAGUUCUUUACUGUCUUUCGCAUCUGCAUGGCACGCUGAUGGCCGCACCUCUGUGACUGAGAAUCAAGAUAAAACCUUCCGAAUUUGGGACUUGAGAAACCUGCCACCACCUACAGCAGUGCUGAAGGAAAACAUGGGUGCUGUCCGAUCGAUCAGUUACUCAUCAGAUGGGCGGUUCUUGGUAGUGGCUGAACCCGCAGAGUUUGUCCACAUUUACAAUGCCGAAGGAGAGUACAAGAAGCGUCAUGUUUGGCGAGAUAUCCAUCUAUGAGUCCAGAUGAGUCUCUUUAUUUGGAAUCUGGGAUCAAACAUAUGCAUGCUUUGCUGCAAUACAGCAGUAGACAACGAUAACAACAACAACAACAUACUCAAUGUAUUCCCACAAAGUGGGGUUUGGGGAGGCUAAAGUGUACGCAGUCCAUACCACUACCACAACAGUAGACAUUCUUCUAAAUACGUCGAUUUGUUCUUUUAAACCUCAUUUUAACAAAACAUCAUUUUUCAAACCUGUUUUGAAAAUGUUUUUCUUGAGUUGAGCUAAGGGUCGAAACAACCUCUUUAUCCCACAAAGGUAGAGGUAAGAUUUGUGUACAUCUCAUCUUCCCAGGCCUAUUGUGUGAGGUCGCGCUAAGUAUGUUCUUGUAAACCUCAUCGUAACAGGUUACAUCAAAUUAUCAGGCAACAUUUGUGAGACUACACUAGGUUCAUUCGUGCCCCGGUACUUUAAUAAGUAAAACAUAAGUGGUCGAAGAUAUUCUUGACAUUCAAAUAACAAAUAAUUUUGUCUCGACAUAAAUUUAUGUUUUUGUAUCAUUUAAGUUAUGCCCCUUAAUUCCUCUCAAGCUUAUGUCAAUAGAGGUUAAAGUUUUGUUCAGAACUCACAAGUUGCACCGUAAAAGGUAUAACUUGAUUUCUUGCUUAUUUCAUGUACAACUUAUCUCGAUAGAGGUAAAGUUUGGAUGCCAUAAAAAAUAUAAUUUAAUUUCUACCGAACUUAUGCAAGUCAAACUUUGUUUCAGAACUCACUAAAUGUGUCGCAAACAAAAUGUCUUUAAACUUAUGCCAAACGAAUUAGAUAUUAUACAAGAAAAAGAAAUCUUAUGAAUAGAAAUUAAUUCCUUUUUCCUACAAAGAAAAAAUAGAACUAAAUUAAAUCUUAUGAAUUUUUAAAUAAAAAUAAAAUUAAUUCCUUUUCCCUAUUUGCCCCUCCUCCCUUAAAAUUUGCCAUCAAAAGUUUCACUCGAUUCAACUUGUCUCAACUUACAAGUAUAAAAAAUCCAGUUCCAGAACAAAAACUAGGGUUUCAAAAUCAGCUGAUUUCGCCGGAGAUAAUUGGGGAUUUUGCCGGAACAAGCUCCGGUACCAUCGAUUUCCUAAUUCCGGUGAGGUAUAUUACUGAUAUGGAGGAGUUGAAGCACAAAUCGUCGAAGAGAGAAGACGAAUCGAAGAAAUCGAAGAGAGAAGACGAGUCGAAGAAGCGUCACCGGGACAAAGAGGAUAGAGAUAGAGAUCGAGAUCGAGAUAAGCGGGAGAGAGAUCAUCAUCAUCGAGAUAAGAAGGAUCGGGAAAGAGAGAAAAGCAGUCGGUACGAAAGAGAGAGAGAGAAAAGUGUUGAUAGAGAUAAGGCGAAGCAUAAGGAUAGGCAUAAGGAGCGUGAGAAGAGCAGCAGCAAAUUUCGAGAUGAAGAUGAAAGACCUAAGGGAGAUAAGGAGGUUGAGAAGAGCAGCAAGUUUCGCGAAGACGAUGAAAGACCUAAGGAGCGUGAGAAGAGCAGCAAAAUUCGUGAUGAAGAUGAAAAAGUUAGAGAUAGAGUGAAAGAGCGCGAAAAGGAUAAGGAAGAUCGCGAAGAAAGAGAGAGGGAGAGGAAGAAAGAACGCGAAAAAGAAAAGGAAGAUCGAGAUGAGAGGGAGAGGAAGAAAGAGCGUGAAAAGGAGAAGGAAGAUCGAGAAGAGAGGGAAAGGGAGAGGGAGAGGAAAAGAGAGCGCGAAAAGGAGAAGGAAGAUCGAGAAGAGAGGGAAAGGGAGAGGGAGAGGAGGAAAGAAAAAGAGAGGAGAGAAAGGGAGAAGGAGAGGAUUCGAGAGAAGGAUAGAUACAAAGGGAGUGAUGAUGAAGUUGAUCGCGAAAGAAAGAGGAGAAAGAGGGAUAGUAAUGAUGAGCAUUAUAAGGAGAGAGGGGAUAGGGAAAGGAGUAGCAAAACGAGUAAUAGGUUAAGGGAAGGUAGCAUUGAUCAAGUAUCAGCAGAAAAGAAUGAGAAGAGCAGAGAGGAAGAUUUAGCGGAGGAGCAAAGAAAAUUAGAUGACGAGAUGGAGAAGCGAAGGAGGAGAGUUCAAGAGUGGCAAGAGUUAAAAAGGAAAAAAGAGGAGUCUGAAAGGGAAAAGCUUGGGGUUGAUGUAGGUGGUGAAGAACCGAAAUUGGGAAAGACUUGGACGUUGGAUGGUGAGUCAGAUGACGAAGAUGCUGAGGGGAAAAAUGGGAUGGAUAUUGAUAUGGAUGAUAAUGGUAAGGUAAUGAAGGACGAAAAUGGAGCUGGUAAAAUGGUUAGUUCUAGCAAUGGAUCUGAUUCACCUGUUAUUCGGAAUGGGGGUGAUGGUGUAGCUGCGGAUGAUGAUGAGAUUGACCCUUUGGAUGCUUUUAUGAACUCUAUGGUUUUGCCUGAAGUUGAGAAGCUUAGCAAAUUUAUGGUUAAUAGCUUGGAUGCUGAAAAUUCCAGUUUGAAAGAGAAGAACGGUCCUGGUAAAGAAGAAAAACCUAAGAUGGGCGUGAAGAUGACCAUGAAGAAAACCACGGGAAGAAUUAUCCCUGGUGAAGAUUCUGAUUCAGAUUAUGGGGACGUUGAGAAUGAUGAAGAUACUUUGGAGGAAGAAGAUGAUGAAGAAUUUAUGAAACGGGUGAAGAAAACCAAGGUUGAGAAACUGUCAUUAGUCGAUCACUCAAAGAUUGACUAUCCUUCUUUCAGAAAGAACUUCUACAUAGAAGUUAAGGAAAUUUCAAGGAUGAGUCCUGAAGAGGUUUCUGCUUACAGGAAAGAGCUUGAACUUAAGAUCCAUGGCAAGGAUGUUCCAAAACCAAUCAGAACAUGGCAUCAGACAGGAUUGUCCUCAAAGAUACUAGACACUAUAAGGAAGCUGAAUUAUGAGAAGCCCAUGUCUAUUCAAGCUCAGGCUUUGCCAGUAAUCAUGAGUGGUCGGGAUUGUAUUGGGAUUGCUAAGACGGGUUCUGGUAAGACACUUGCAUUUGUAUUACCUAUGCUUAGACAUAUUAAGGACCAGCCUCCUCUGGCAUCUGGAGAUGGUCCUAUUGGGCUAAUAAUGGCCCCUACUAGAGAGCUUGUGCAGCAAAUUCAUAGUGAUAUUAAGAAAUUUGCGAGAGUGAUGGGUCUAACUUGUGUACCUGUGUAUGGAGGUUCCGGUGUUGCUCAACAAAUUAGUGAGUUGAAACGUGGAGCUGAAAUUGUUGUGUGCACUCCAGGUAGGAUGAUCGAUAUUCUUUGUACAAGUGGUGGGAAGAUCACGAAUCUGCGAAGAGUCACUUACUUGGUC
RNAcentral lists this long non-coding RNA (6155 nucleotides) under Capsicum annuum. Its description in RNAcentral is "long non-coding RNA (CANN_LNC018305)". The record is from RNAcentral. Lineage: Eukaryota; Viridiplantae; Streptophyta; Magnoliopsida; Solanales; Solanaceae.